RNAcentral lists this unclassified non-coding RNA (334 nucleotides) under Hevea brasiliensis (rubber tree). The record is from RNAcentral. Lineage: Eukaryota; Viridiplantae; Streptophyta; Magnoliopsida; Malpighiales; Euphorbiaceae.
GGCCGAUUGAAAGUUGAUUUAUCCAAUCUCUUCCUCUUCAUUAAAAAUAACAUUUAAAAUUAAUUUUUCGUAAAUAAAUGACAAAAAUAUUUAGAUAAAAGAUUAUACAUGAAUUGUGUUACAGAGAUGCACAAAAGGGAAGGAUUAUGAAUAAUCUUUGAAAGAUUAUUCAAAGAUUAUACAAUUAUCAUUAUGACAAAUUAAUUAAUUAGGAUGAAAUGAAAACUUGAAAAUAAAAUAUGAAAAUGUAAGAGUUUUUGGAGCAGAGAAGGUUGAUUCCAUAACAGACACACACCUGUCUUAAAAAUGAUUUAAUAAUAUUACUUAAAAAUUU